AUUGAACGCUGGCGGAAUGCUUUACACAUGCAAGUCGAACGGCAGCACGGACUUCGGUCUGGUGGCGAGUGGCGAACGGGUGAGUAAUGUAUCGGAACGUGCCCAGUCGUGGGGGAUAACGUAGUGAAAAUUACGCUAAUACCGCAUACGAUCUAUGGAUGAAAGCGGGGGAUCGCAAGACCUCGCGCGAUUGGAGCGGCCGAUAGCAGAUUAGGUAGUUGGUGGGGUAAAGGCCCACCAAGCCAACGAUCUGUACCUGGUCUGAGAGGACGACCAGCCACACUGGAACGGAGACAGGGUCCAGACUCCUACGGGAGGCAGCAGUGGGGAAUUUUGGACAAUGGGCGAAAGCCUGAUCCAGCCAUUCCGCGUGCAGGAUGAAGGCCCUCGGGUUGUAAACUGCUUUUGUACAGAACGAAAAGGUUUCUACUAAUACUAGGAGCUCAUGACGGUACUGUAAGAAUAAGCACCGGCUAACUACGUGCCAGCAGCCGCCGCCG
RNAcentral lists this ribosomal RNA (500 nucleotides) under uncultured bacterium. RNAcentral describes it as "partial 16S ribosomal RNA". It matches the Rfam family "Bacterial small subunit ribosomal RNA", at positions 30 to 523 of the family's 1533-position model. The record is from RNAcentral.